Molecule: ribosomal RNA, 305 nt
Filed under: uncultured bacterium
Lineage: Bacteria
Description: bacterial SSU rRNA
Rfam family: Bacterial small subunit ribosomal RNA
Source: RNAcentral
AAUGCCUACGGGACGCAGCAGUGGGGAAUAUUGCACAACGGGGGGAACCCUGAUGCAGCGACGCCGCGUGGGCGAUGGAGUAUUUCGGUAUGUAAAGCCCUAUCGGCAGGGAAGAAACUGACAGUACCUGACUAAGAAGCCCCGGCUAACUACGUGCCAGCAGCCGCGGUAAUACGUAGGGGGCAAGCGUUAUCCGGAUUCACUGGGCGUAAAGGGAGCGCAGGCGGCACGGCAAGCCUGGUGUGAAAACCCGGGGCCCAACCCCGGGAGUGCAUUGGGAACUGCACCGCGAGGGUGCCGGGGGG